GGGUGAGUAACGCGUAUGCAACCUGCCCGUUUCAGCGGGAUAACCCGGAGAAAUCCGGCCUAAUACCGCAUGUGGCCGAGGGGAGGCAUCUUCUUUCGGCCAAAGGAGGCGACUCCGGAGACGGAUGGGCAUGCGUGACAUUAGCUUGUUGGCGGGGUAACGGCCCACCAAGGCGACGAUGUCUAGGGGUUCUGAGAGGAAGGUCCCCCACACUGGUACUGAGACACGGACCAGACUCCUACGGGAGGCAGCAGUGAGGAAUAUUGGUCAAUGGGCGAGAGCCUGAACCAGCCAAGUCGCGUGAAGGAUGACGGCCCUACGGGUUGUAAACUUCUUUUGUCAGGGAGCAAUUGGGUCCACGUGUGGGCUUAGCGAGAGUACCUGAAGAAAAAGCAUCGGCUAACUCCGUGCCAGCAGCCGCGGUAAUACGGAGGAUGCGAGCGUUAUCCGGAUUUAUUGGGUUUAAAGGGUGCGUAGGCGGAAUAUCAAGUCAGCGGUAAAAAUUCGGGGCUCAACCCCGUCGUGCCGUUGAAACUGAUGUUCUUGAGUGGGCGAGAAGUAUGCGGAAUGCGUGGUGUAGCGGUGAAAUGCAUAGAUAUCACGCAGAACUCCGAUUGCGAAGGCAGCAUACCGGCGCCCAACUGACGCUGAAGCACGAAAGCGUGGGUAUCGAACAGGAUUAGAUACCCUGGUAGUCCACGCAGUAAACGAU
This 712-nucleotide ribosomal RNA is filed under the name uncultured bacterium. Its description in RNAcentral is "bacterial SSU rRNA". It matches the Rfam family "Bacterial small subunit ribosomal RNA", at positions 104 to 810 of the family's 1533-position model. The record is from RNAcentral.